This 332-nucleotide long non-coding RNA is filed under the name Capsicum annuum. Its description in RNAcentral is "long non-coding RNA (CANN_LNC019524)". The record is from RNAcentral. Lineage: Eukaryota; Viridiplantae; Streptophyta; Magnoliopsida; Solanales; Solanaceae.
UUAUUUAUAGAGGAUUUUCCUCAACAACCAAGUGAAAGCUUGUAAGUAUUUUAAUAUAUAUAUAUAUCGAAUCUCUUAAGUUUGUACAAAAUAUAUUUUAAUUAUUAUUUAAUAUUUUUGUAAGGACUGUGGUGUGUAUAUGAUUACAUAUGCAGAGUGCCUUUCUUAUGGUCAAGACAUUUCUUUGAUUGAGUUCAAUCUCAAAAUACUUCGUACAAGAUAUGCUUCACUAAUGUGGGACUACGGUAUAAGAAAAUAAGAAGCUAAAGCUCAAAGUGACGAUAAAGCACCAUUGGGGCCUGUUAGAAAAAGCAAGAUAAUAAGUCUCACAG